Non-coding RNA from Podarcis lilfordi (Lilford's wall lizard), 70 nucleotides. The record is from the annotation of a GenBank genome assembly. Lineage: Eukaryota; Metazoa; Chordata; Lepidosauria; Squamata; Lacertidae.
GGUAGCUCAGCUAGUUAGAGCAUGGUGCUGAUAACGCCAAGGUAGCAGGUUUGACCCCCUCCGAGGGACA